CCUACGGGCGGCAGCAGUGAGGAAUAUUGGUCAAUGGACGAGAGUCUGAACCAGCCAAGUAGCGUGAAUGAUGACUGCCCUAUGGGUUGUAAACUUCUUUUAUAUGGGAAUAAAAUGUUCCACGUGUGGGAUUUUGUAUGUACCAUAUGAAUAAGGAUCGGCUAACUCCGUGCCAGCAGCCGCGGUAAUACGGAGGAUCCGAGCGUUAUCCGGAUUUAUUGGGUUUAAAGGGAGCGUAGGUGGAUUGUUAAGUCAGUUGUGAAAGUUUGCGGCUCAACCGUAAAAUUGCAGUUGAAACUGGAAGUCUUGAGUACAGUAGAGGUGGGCGGAAUUCGUGGUGUAGCGGUGAAAUGCUUAGAUAUCACGAAGAACUCCGAUUGCGAAGGCAGCUCACUGGACUGCAGCUGACACUGAGGCUCGAAAGUGUGGGUAUCAAACAGGAUUAGAUACCCCGGUAGUC
This 460-nucleotide ribosomal RNA is filed under the name uncultured bacterium. Its description in RNAcentral is "partial 16S ribosomal RNA". It matches the Rfam family "Bacterial small subunit ribosomal RNA", at positions 338 to 795 of the family's 1533-position model. The record is from RNAcentral.